CCUCUCUCAGAGUCGCACCUGGAAUGUUUCCAGUACUCUACCAGUCUCGACUAAGGGAGGGAGAGUCAAGCAGAGGCCUACCCAUUCCAUUCCUAGCUUGGGGCAGAGGCUAGUGAAUGGAAGACAAUCUGCUACAAGU
RNAcentral lists this small nucleolar RNA (139 nucleotides) under Ornithorhynchus anatinus (platypus). Lineage: Eukaryota; Metazoa; Chordata; Mammalia; Monotremata; Ornithorhynchidae. The record is from RNAcentral.